GUCUUCGUGGUGUAGUGGUCAGCACGCUCGACGCGUAACCGAGAGGUCCGUGGUUCGAUUCCCGGCGAAGGGG
Molecule: transfer RNA, 73 nt
Filed under: Stegodyphus mimosarum
Lineage: Eukaryota; Metazoa; Arthropoda; Arachnida; Araneae; Eresidae
Rfam family: tRNA
About the family: Transfer RNA (tRNA) molecules are approximately 80 nucleotides in length. Their secondary structure includes four short double-helical elements and three loops (D, anti-codon, and T loops).
Source: Rfam by way of RNAcentral